Molecule: non-coding RNA, 28 nt
Organism: Flavobacteriaceae bacterium CG1_02_35_72
Lineage: Bacteria; Pseudomonadati; Bacteroidota; Flavobacteriia; Flavobacteriales; Flavobacteriaceae
Source: Rfam
CAACCUCUGGCGAGAAUCGUAAAUGUUG